Molecule: ribosomal RNA, 500 nt
Filed under: uncultured bacterium
Lineage: Bacteria
Description: partial 16S ribosomal RNA
Rfam family: Bacterial small subunit ribosomal RNA
Source: RNAcentral
AUUGAACGCUGGCGGCAGGCCUAACACAUGCAAGUCGGGCGGAUGAGGAGAGCUUGCUCUCUGAUUUAGCGGCGGACGGGUGAGUAAUGCCUAGGAAUCUGCCUGGUAGUGGGGGAUAACGUCCGGAAACGGGCGCUAAUACCGCAUACGUCCUACGGGAGAAAGCAGGGGACCUUCGGGCCUUGCGCUAUCAGAUGAGCCUAGGUCGGAUUAGCUAGUUGGUGAGGUAAUGGCUCACCAAGGCGACGAUCCGUAACUGGUCUGAGAGGAUGAUCAGUCACACUGGAACUGAGACACGGUCCAGACUCCUACGGGAGGCAGCAGUGGGGAAUAUUGGACAAUGGGCGAAAGCCUGAUCCAGCCAUGCCGCGUGUGUGAAGAAGGUCUUCGGAUUGUAAAGCACUUUAAGUUGGGAGGAAGGGCAGUAAGUUAAUACCUUGCUGUUUUGACGUUACCGACAGAAUAAGCACCGGCUAACUUCGUGCCAGCCGCCGCAGUAA